CUGGAUUAUUGAACGAGUUCCUGUGAACCUCUUACCGGCUACCCAAUUUCAUUUGAAGCUUCUCCGUGUACCGAAACUGCUCUGAAAACGACUACCCUCCUUCUCCACUCCUCGACCUCGGUUUGUUAAACGGACUUCUGCUCCUAAACCUAAGGAACUGCUUAAUUUGAACUCUCCAUUUUCCUGGAAACUGCUUCUUAAGCUAAGUACUUUUUCCUUCAAGCCAAUUUUCUCUCAGUUGCAAAUAAUAAGCUGCCUCAUUGAUAACCAUUCUUGAAGCUAAUUCCACUGCAUUUAAUUCAAUCUAAUUCUGCAUACAUUCUCUGCACUAUCCUUAAUUGGGACUGCUUGGCUUAUGCAAAACUUAUUAUUUUCCUGCAACUAAC
Pelobates cultripes (western spadefoot toad) is the source of this 386-nucleotide non-coding RNA. The record is from the annotation of a GenBank genome assembly. NCBI's taxonomy places the organism in Eukaryota, Metazoa, Chordata, Amphibia, Anura, Pelobatidae.